UGCCUAGUGUCUUCCAAGGGAUAGAUG
RNAcentral lists this non-coding RNA (27 nucleotides) under Homo sapiens (human). The record is from RNAcentral. Lineage: Eukaryota; Metazoa; Chordata; Mammalia; Primates; Hominidae.